GUCUACGGCCAUGCCACUCUGAACAUGCCUGAUCCCGUCUGAUCUUGGAAGCUAAGCAGGGUCGGGCCUGGUUAGUACUUGUAUGGGAGACCACCUGGAAAGACCGGGUGCUGUAGGCU
Pteropus alecto (black flying fox) is the source of this 119-nucleotide non-coding RNA. The record is from Rfam. Lineage: Eukaryota; Metazoa; Chordata; Mammalia; Chiroptera; Pteropodidae.